Long non-coding RNA from Lolium perenne, 3733 nucleotides. RefSeq lists it as uncharacterized. NCBI's taxonomy places the organism in Eukaryota, Viridiplantae, Streptophyta, Magnoliopsida, Poales, Poaceae. The record is from RefSeq and is a predicted model, not a curated record.
UAGGGGAGUUCAUUUUAUGCAUUCUGCUGUUAUUGAUUUGUGGCUGAUAGGAAAAUAGUAGAAGUUAAUUUCAUGUAUUGUAAAAGCUCACUAUUAAAUUUUUCGGAGUUCACGGAGUACCAGGUCGUUCUCUGUUUGUUGUCCGUCCGGUAGAGUCUAUGAGAAGUUCAGAUCUAGGAACCCAACAUUUAAGGCCCAAUACUAAAUGCAUGUUGCUGAAAUGUAGGCGCUCAAAGCUGGGAUGCUUCCAGUUUAUGAAAAUCACAGUAAUGUUGGUGGGUCAAUCAUUCGGGAUAUUUAUGUGGAGAAGUUCAGUGUUACUAUUGGCAGACGUAAUCUUAUUCACAAACAGACUCAGCGCUUUGUUUUGGAAGACACUAUGGUGAGUUACAACUUAGAUUACUACAUAUGUCUAAAUGCCCACCUAUUGAGGAGGCUCUCUAGGGAUGUGAAUUUAUGCUCCCGCUGAUAUGAACUAUUGCUGUCGCUGUUGCUUACUAGUGAUGCCACUGAUGUGAAAUAGAAGUGUUCGUAUCUGGCUAAAAAUGAUCAAUCAAAAGAAUUUAUCUGGUGAGUGCACUUUUAGUUUUAGUCCUGAAGUGCACCUUGUCCGUUGCUGAAGUUCAUUUUCCUUUCUCAGUAAACUGUUAUAUGCUAUCGGAGAUUUCACUAUGGCAGAGCUAGAAGCUCAUUAAAAAAUAUGACAAGUCCAGUUAAAAAAAAUCACAGUGAGUUGGUGUUAAAGUGAAGUUUACUUCUCUAUGUUUUUGUCAAUAAGUUGCAGUUCAGUUUGUAUUGUACAAAUUUCUUUUGUCUUCGCCCGCACAAACGAUUCACUUCUGGUUGUUAUAUAUGCUGCACGAAGUGCAUAUGUAGCAAAACUAGAGGCACAACUUCAAUUAUGGAGCAAUCCAGUUGAGUGAGAAUUUCGUUUGAAAAAUUGGUAUAUGGAAUGCAUCUGUUUUAUGUUUGGUUCAUUACAUUGACACCAGAAACAUAGAUUAAAAAGCUAGAAAAAAGUGAUGUCUUGCUGUAUUAAUGAAAAUGAUGAUGUGGAAAAACACAGAUAGGAAAAUUCACUUUGUGUUAUUGUGAAUUCAACUUUCUAUACGUAGUCAACAAUCUAUAAACAAUAUUUGGGAAGUUCGGUUUUUUGUUUUCAAGUAGUGCACUUAGCUUGGAAAUUAACUUCAAAUGCAUCCAGAAGUUCAGUACUGCUGCUAACCGCUGAGGUGAACUAUUGCUUCAGUGGCUAUUCCUGGUUCAGAUGCAUCACCGCUCAUGUUCUAGUCUCUCGGCAAGAUGUACAAAGCAUAUUGAAAACUUGUUCGCAUUUUAUUUUUAGUUAGCUGCAACCUGUAGUGGUGCACGGCGACCUAGUUGCUGAAAAUGCCACUGGAAAACAAAUCGUGUCCAGUUUAAUGGGCCUCUGGUAUGAUAACAAUACAUAGAAAAAUAAAAUAAAAAUCCUGUGUUAAUCGUAGAAGUUAACUUCCUCCUGUUUGAGAAGUUCUUCCGUUGCCACGCAUGGUCAGCAGUUCCUUGUUGUGCGGGGGUGGUUUAGUGGUGUGCAAAGGCGAAGUUAAACCUUUUUCUGUUGAGAGUUAAAUUAGCAGUUCACUAUUCUGUGUCAUGAAGUUCACUUUUAAAAUGUUGGAAACAGAAGUUCAAUAAGUGAACUACAAUAAGUUCACUUUAACCAUAAUUUGUGAACUGAAAUAUUUUUAAAUCAAGGAGUUCACUUCAUAUACCUGAAGUUUGCCUCUUUUUUAUCGGGGAGUUCGUCUUUUUAAUUUUGUUCGCAAGUUCACAUCUUCCUCGCAUAGAAGUUCGCAUUUUGUGAUUUUAUUCAUAAAGAUUGUUGCUAGCUUAACUACUGCCUUUUGUGAUUUUAUUCAUAAAGAUUGUUGCUAGCUUUGUAUUUGAGCAAAUGUUGGACGAUUGCAGCACAUAAAAAACAAUUUCACCUAGUUCACAUAUGAAGUUUACUCAUUUUUAUUUUGGAAAAAAAUCACUUCAUAGAUUGAUUUUAGUUAAAACACAUAAGAACAAGACUGUGAAGGUCGCUUUUAUUUAAAAUGCAAGUCCGCUUGUCCAACUUAAGGAAUUCUCCUUUUCUUUUAGUCACAAAUUUUUGUUUUGUCGGGAAGUUCGCUUCUAUUUAAAAUGCAAGUUCACAUGUCCAACUCAGGGACUUCAUCUUGUUUUGUCGCGAAGUUCAUCUUGUUCAUUUUAGGCAGUUCACUCUUCCAGAACGGUUCACUUUUCUUUUUAAGAUCUGAAUAUUCGAAUCAUCUGAGGAAGACACUCACUUCUUUAUAGGCAAAAAAUAGCAAGAAUUUCAUUUUUUCCGUAUGUACAGUGGCAGUUCACUAUUCCUUGUCACAAAGUUCACUUUUAAAAAUCCCAGAAGUUUAAAUUGUUUUCUUUUCUGGUUUGACAGUACAGGUAUUUAGAAUUUUGCACUACUAAAGUUUGCUUCAAUACCCGUGAACAUACUAUAUCGCUAUUGUUUCAACAUUAUUAGCAGGGGUAGUUAGUUAAAAGCACACAUGUUUAUUUAGUAGGUUAUACAUGUGUUUGUCAGGGGAAACAAACGACUACUUCCGUGUGUUAAUUUAAAUGUGUGGUACGUGUUUGUUUCAUUGCCUUGUUUGUUCAGUACUAUCCACUUUAGAUAACUUUUUCGAAUGUUCGCUAUACACAUAUAAGCAUGAUUAAAAUCAUUUUUUUUCUAUCCGCGCACUUCAGACUGCCAUGUUAAUUUCUCUAGUAUCUCGAAAUAUAAGAAUUGCUUCACUGCAAUUUUGUGUGAACCAUGCUUAAAACAGGAAGUUCACCCGAUAGCAGUUCAGUCACAUCUUUUUUGUAGUUCUGAAAGAAAUAAGUGAAGUUCAUUUUGAGUGGUAUGCUUUUAUCAUCUUGAAGUAUGCCACAGGACCGAUAGGACAUGAGUACAAUCUGGUAAGCGGCCUCCAAUAACUUCUUUCAGUUUUCCUAUACUUGCUGUGCAUGUGGCGGAGAUGCUGUAGCUUCUUACUGCUAUUAUUAACCAUGCUAAUAUCUGAAGUAAUGGUACUAAUUUCUUGGUGAUGCUUAGUUGAUUGCUCACUGAUGUUAAUUGUAUUCUAUUUUGUAGAGAAACUAAUAGGAUGUAUUUGCUUGGAAGUGCACAUUGGUGAAAAUAGGAAAUUCACUGUAUAUAAGUAAGCUUCCUAAUAUGGAGGUGUACAUCGAUCGGCAAUUUUCUGGAAAACUAUGAGAGAUACUGAUAAGCCCAGCGUCAUGGGUCUCUUGUCAAGCAGAGCUAAGGCGAAAAGUUACUCGACGGGGACACGACCUGAUCCAGGUGUAGACUUUGUGAUGGAUACGUGAGUGUACUCACUUGGCCACCAGGUGCAUGAAUGUUACUAUUGUCAGAUUGAUUCCCAGGUGAUACAAUGUAGAGUCGACAGAGGUCGGUUGAUCAGGUCAAUGCAGGGAGGGAGGCAUGAUCUGUCCAGGUCAACAAGACAAGAAAUCAUGUGCAUAUGCAGGGCGUAGGCACAUGCAUCAUUGUUUGAUCAUAUAUGCAAGUGUAUACUGAAUGAGUAUUGUAUCUAGUAGACAUGGGGCAUGAAAUUGCGGUUCAGGAGAACUGGCGUGGGUUGUUUGGCAAGUUUUUUCCCUUUCAUUUAUAUUUUCCUUUUUUGCUCUGUAUAGACAACAAAAAUGGAAAUUUAUUUUUUUCUAA